Small nuclear RNA from Rattus norvegicus (Norway rat), 64 nucleotides. Ensembl annotates it as U7 small nuclear RNA. The record is from Ensembl. NCBI's taxonomy places the organism in Eukaryota, Metazoa, Chordata, Mammalia, Rodentia, Muridae.
AAUUUUUCUUAGCUCUUUUGGAAUUAUUUCUAAUAGGAUUUCUGACCUUGGUUAGAAAUCCCAA